UACGAAGGGUGCAAACGUUGCUCGGAAUUAUUGGGCGUAAAGCGCACGUAGGCGGCAUUGCAAGUCCCAUGUGAAAGCCCACGGCUUAACCGUGGAAGUGCAUGGGAAACUGCAGUGCUUGAGUACUUAAGAGGAUCGCGGAAUUCCCGGUGUAGAGGUGAAAUUCGUAGAUAUCGGGAGGAACACCAGUGGCGAAGGCGGCGAUCUAGGAAGAUACUGACGCUGAGGUGCGAAAGCGUGGGGAGCAAACAGG
RNAcentral lists this ribosomal RNA (253 nucleotides) under uncultured bacterium. RNAcentral describes it as "partial 16S ribosomal RNA". It matches the Rfam family "Bacterial small subunit ribosomal RNA", at positions 524 to 776 of the family's 1533-position model. The record is from RNAcentral.